Molecule: transfer RNA, 77 nt
Filed under: Hirschia baltica ATCC 49814
Lineage: Bacteria; Pseudomonadati; Pseudomonadota; Alphaproteobacteria; Hyphomonadales; Hyphomonadaceae
Also listed under: 1 other name
Description: tRNA-Ile (GAT) (tRNA-Ile-GAT-1-1, tRNA-Ile-GAT-1-2)
Rfam family: tRNA
About the family: Transfer RNA (tRNA) molecules are approximately 80 nucleotides in length. Their secondary structure includes four short double-helical elements and three loops (D, anti-codon, and T loops). Further hydrogen bonds mediate the characteristic L-shaped molecular structure. tRNAs have two regions of fundamental functional importance: the anti-codon, which is responsible for specific mRNA codon recognition, and the 3' end, to which the tRNAs corresponding amino acid is attached (by aminoacyl-tRNA synthetases). tRNAs cope with the degeneracy of the genetic code in two manners: having more than one tRNA (with a specific anti-codon) for a particular amino acid; and 'wobble' base-pairing, i.e. permitting non-standard base-pairing at the 3rd anti-codon position.
Source: RNAcentral
GGGUCUGUAGCUCAGGUGGUUAGAGCGCACCCCUGAUAAGGGUGAGGUCGGAAGUUCAAGUCUUCCCAGACCCACCA